This 539-nucleotide ribosomal RNA is filed under the name Streptomyces thermosacchari. Its description in RNAcentral is "bacterial SSU rRNA". It matches the Rfam family "Bacterial small subunit ribosomal RNA", at positions 335 to 885 of the family's 1533-position model. The record is from RNAcentral. Lineage: Bacteria; Bacillati; Actinomycetota; Actinomycetes; Kitasatosporales; Streptomycetaceae.
UUCCUUACGGAGGCAGCAGUGGGGAAUAUUGCACAAUGGGCGAAAGCCUGAUGCAGCGACGCCGCGUGAGGGAUGACGGCCUUCGGGUUGUAAACCUCUUUCAGCAGGGAAGAAGCGAGAGUGACGGUACCUGCAGAAGAAGCGCCGGCUAACUACGUGCCAGCAGCCGCGGUAAUACGUAGGGCGCAAGCGUUGUCCGGAAUUAUUGGGCGUAAAGAGCUCGUAGGCGGCUUGUCGCGUCGGUUGUGAAAGCCCGGGGCUUAACCCCGGGUCUGCAGUCGAUACGGGCAGGCUAGAGUUCGGUAGGGGAGAUCGGAAUUCCUGGUGUAGCGGUGAAAUGCGCAGAUAUCAGGAGGAACACCGGUGGCGAAGGCGGAUCUCUGGGCCGAUACUGACGCUGAGGAGCGAAAGCGUGGGGAGCGAACAGGAUUAGAUACCCUGGUAGUCCACGCCGUAAACGGUGGGCACUAGGUGUGGGCAACAUUCCCACGUUGUCCGUGCCGCAGCUAACGCAUUAAGUGCCCCGCCUGGUAGGACGG